UGUGCACUAUCGCCUACUCUUUUCCAGCGUAGGUGACUAGAAUUAGGGUUUUGUUGUUGUAAAAUUCCUUGAAGGAAACAGAAUUGUAUGCUUGAUUCAUUUUAUCACGGUAGGAUUGGUCAAGCUAAGCUCCGACAGCAUGGCCAAGCUGCCCCUGUAUCAGCGUCUUGCUGUUCUAGCUGCGUUUCAGACCACUGUCGCCGUGGCUUACUUCUCCAUCAUCGAGAGAUCAAGGUCACGUGAUGGCAGUUUUGAGAGAGAUGGAUACAACUUCUGGGAUAUGUUCGGGGAGCCUAAGCACAAGCGCGAGCACAAGAAGGGUAUUGCUGAACAGCACAAAGGUUGAGACGAGUUGACGUCUUUGACGGGAUGUUACCUAACUUGUUUCUCAAUAACGAUUCCGAGGCAUUCUCGUCUGCAACACUUCAUAGCUUUCGACAUCCUCUUCGUUGUGUAGGAAAUGCAGAAUGUCGAGUACAUGUGCGGAUCUACUUUGCAUUAUUGGCUUCUUCUUCCGUAGACCAAAUGUGUUGAAGGAUUACUCCGAGGCUCUGGACGUGAAGUGUACAAGGCUUCGAACUUCGUCAUGGUGCUGAAACUAGGCCGAGGUACAAUGGAAACUUCAGUAGAGACGCAACGUUCAGAACAGUGGAGACGUACCAGAAUGGGCUGUGCUAUGGCAAUUGUAGCAUGCUUUCAGAAACAAGGUACCUUGUUGGAAGGCUUAUCUGAAAAGUUCUCAAACUAGCCCUCCAGAAGCAAAUUUGAAGAUUCUGUAUCAAUGCUUACGCACAACGUGAAACUACAACAGUUAACGGUACAAGCUGCUUACCAAAUAUAGUUUUUGGGGUCUGUUAUCAGUAUAUGCGUUCUGCAAUUCUAGUAAAAGUGAAUGUCAGUGACACGGCACCAGGCAUUUCUGCUACUCCAGCGAUGCAUAUUUGAUUCAGUAAUGGAAGGCAAAUAUCAUUUGUCAAGAUUUUUGGUUAUGGAUUUAUCCAUUAGCCCGUAAAUUAGCCUCAACAGUUCAGACGAUACAGCAAUAUGACAUCCCCCUACCUCUCAUCUCUCUUUUGUGUAACUGCAGUGUGAUCCCUAGUAACAGUGCAACUCACUGCAACAUUCAGACGUACAUUAGACUGUAGACUCAUCAGUUGGCAAAGCGAAGUAGUUUAGCGUAGGGCAUAAAACGAGAGAAAUGUUCUAAUUAUUUUCAUUCAUGAACUCACUAGUUCAUAGUUUUGUGGCAAGUAAACCAUCAUAGUCACUGAAAUUUUACCUUCUGAAGGGAAGGUGCAAAAUUGUUAGUCAGGCAGCAGCACCCAUUACUGUAUUGCAAAACGAGAUUACGCACCAUGACAUAUAUGUAUACUACGUCGGCUUAUUUGUA
Molecule: non-coding RNA, 1390 nt
Organism: Physcomitrium patens
Lineage: Eukaryota; Viridiplantae; Streptophyta; Bryopsida; Funariales; Funariaceae
Source: RefSeq, a predicted model, not a curated record